UACGUAGGUGGCAAGCGUUGUCCGGAAUUACUGGGCGUAAAGGGCGUGUAGGCGGCUUUUUAAGUCAGACGUGAAACCCCUGGGCUUAACCCAGGAACUGCGUUUGAAACUGGAUAGCUUGAGGACCGGAGAGGACAGUGGAAUUCCCAGUGUAGCGGUGAAAUGCGUAGAUAUUGGGAGGAACACCAGUGGCGAAGGCGACUGUCUGGACGGCACCUGACGCUGAGGCGCGAAAGCCAGGGGAG
Molecule: ribosomal RNA, 245 nt
Filed under: uncultured bacterium
Lineage: Bacteria
Description: partial 16S ribosomal RNA
Rfam family: Bacterial small subunit ribosomal RNA
Source: RNAcentral